CUGAACUGUCCUCCCAACAAAAUCCUGCUCACCCUUUAAAACAUACCUCUGACAGCUCCUUCUCUGGGCAAGUCGCAUGAGCCUCUCCUCUCAAGGUGUGGCUCUGUGCUUCAUGAUUUACAUGCACCGUCAUUAAGUCCUACUACAGCUUAUUGUCUCACCAGGAAUUUAAGAGUAAUUCCCAAAUUGCUUCUGGGCCUUGACUUUCUGUCAUCUAUUCAAAUGUCAAAACCUUUUCCUGGAAGAAUGUGCUACACCUGCUGCAGCUCCAGUUAUGCCCUUGAUAAAAUCAGUCAGAAUUAUUUGCUAUACAAGAGUCAUUCAUUGAUUUGUCCAUCCUUUCUAUAAGCAUUUCCUGAACAUCUAUUAUGAGCAAGAUACCACAUUGGAUGCUAGAUAAAAAGAACAGAGAAAUAAAGUCUAUUCUUAAAGGCAGCACAGUCAAGGGAGGUAUGGACAAGUGAAUAAAGUGUGACAGUCACUGUGAUGAGGGCUAUGCUAAAGGAGAAAGGCAAUUAGUAAAUGUAGAAGAAGAAAUGGAAUUUGAAAAUCACUAUUUGGCCACCAUCAUGGUAAUAAUUGCUUGAGUCAAGAAUCAUCAGUGGAUCAUUCUAAUGGGUGGAAGUUUAACCACUAACAGGAUAUUUCAUGGUCUCAAAGCCUCUUCCCACAAGAUGUUUAUAAUAAAAAAUAAAAAGCAGAAACUUCAGAGCAAAGAAGUCUGACAGACACUGCCAAAAUCAGUCAAGCCAAUAUCAUGUGUUUCCUAAUACAAUGCACUAAGAGAGGCACAAUAUCACUUCUGCAGCAUCCUUGCCAAAAACACCUAAUGAUAGUUUUAUUAUGAUGAAACAAUGAACCACUUUCAAACUGAGGACAUUUUAUGAAAUAAUUUGUCAGAACUCUCAAAAAUUAUCAAAUAAAUGAAAUAUAAAAAGAGCUGUUAAGGACUUGGAGGACUGUUAGAUUAUAGAAAAGUAAAAAGUCUUUACAGCUAAAUGCAACAAAUAAAGAUGCAAUAUUUUUAUAAAAAACA
RNAcentral lists this long non-coding RNA (1036 nucleotides) under Homo sapiens (human). Its description in RNAcentral is "HSALNT0305672". Lineage: Eukaryota; Metazoa; Chordata; Mammalia; Primates; Hominidae. The record is from RNAcentral.